Molecule: ribosomal RNA, 497 nt
Filed under: uncultured bacterium
Lineage: Bacteria
Description: partial 16S ribosomal RNA
Rfam family: Bacterial small subunit ribosomal RNA
Source: RNAcentral
GAUGAACGCUGGCGGCGUGCCUAAUACAUGCAAGUCGAGCGAACGGACGAGAAGCUUGCUUCUCUGAUGUUAGCGGCGGACGGGUGAGUAACACGUGGAUAACCUACCUAUAAGACUGGGAUAACUCCGGGAAACCGUAGCUAAUACCGGAUAAUAUUUUGAACCGCAUGGUUCAAAAGUGAAAGACGGUCUUGCUGUCACUUAUAGAUGGAUCCGCGCUGCAUUAGCUAGUUGGUAAGGUAACGGCUUACCAAGGCAACGAUGCAUAGCCGACCUGAGAGGGUGAUCGGCCACACUGGAACUGAGACACGGUCCAGGCUCCUACGGGAGGCAGCAGUAGGGAAUCUUCCGCAAUGGGCGAAAGCCUGACGGAGCAACGCCGCGUGAGUGAUGAAGGUCUUCGGAUCGUAAAACUCUGUUAUUAGGGAAGAACAUAUGUGUAAGUAACUGUGCACAUCUUGACGGUACCUAAUCAGAAAGCCACGGCUAACUACGUG